UACGGAGGGUGCAAGCGUUAUCCGGAUUCACUGGGUUUAAAGGGUGCGUAGGUGGGUUUGUAAGUCAGUGGUGAAAUCUCCGUGCUUAACAUGGAAACUGCCAUUGAUACUAUAGACCUUGAAUUUUCUGGAGGAUAGCGGAAUAUGUCAUGUAGCGGUGAAAUGCUUAGAUAUGACAUAGAACACCAAUUGCGAAGGCAGCUAUCUACAGGGAUAUUGACACUGAGGCACGAAAGCGUGGGGAUCAAACAGG
RNAcentral lists this ribosomal RNA (253 nucleotides) under uncultured bacterium. Its description in RNAcentral is "partial 16S ribosomal RNA". It matches the Rfam family "Bacterial small subunit ribosomal RNA", at positions 524 to 776 of the family's 1533-position model. The record is from RNAcentral.